GAUGAACGCUGGCGGCGUGCCUAAUACAUGCAAGUCGAGCGAACAGACGAGGAGCUUGCUCCUCUGACGUUAGCGGCGGACGGGUGAGUAACACGUGGAUAACCUACCUAUAAGACUGGGAUAACUUCGGGAAACCGGAGCUAAUACCGGAUAAUAUAUUGAACCGCAUGGUUCAAUAGUGAAAGACGGUUUUGCUGUCACUUAUAGAUGGAUCCGCGCCUCAUUAGCUAGUUGGUAAGGUAACGGCUUACCAAGGCAACGAUGCGUAGCCGACCUGAGAGGUGGAUCGGCCACACUGGAACUGAGACACGGUCCAGACUCCUACGGGAGGCAGCAGUAGGGAAUCUUCCGCAAUGGGCGAAAGCUUGACGGAGCAACGCCGCGUGAGUGAUGAAGGUCUUCGGAUCGUAAAACUCUGUUAUUAGGGAAGAACAAAUGUGUAAGUAACUAUGCACGUCUUGACGGUACCUAAUCAGAAAGCCACGGCUAACUACGUG
This 497-nucleotide ribosomal RNA is filed under the name uncultured bacterium. RNAcentral describes it as "partial 16S ribosomal RNA". It matches the Rfam family "Bacterial small subunit ribosomal RNA", at positions 28 to 507 of the family's 1533-position model. The record is from RNAcentral.